RNAcentral lists this ribosomal RNA (401 nucleotides) under uncultured bacterium. Its description in RNAcentral is "bacterial SSU rRNA". It matches the Rfam family "Bacterial small subunit ribosomal RNA", at positions 28 to 433 of the family's 1533-position model. The record is from RNAcentral.
GACGAACGCUGGCGGCGUGCUUAACACAUGCAAGUCGAGCGGUAAGGCCCUUUCGGGGGUACACGAGCGGCGAACGGGUGAGUAACACGUGGGUGACCUGCCCUCAGCUCUGGGAUAAGCCUGGGAAACCGGGUCUAAUACUGGAUAUGACUCCAUGACGCAUGUUGUGGGGUGGAAAGCCUUGUGCGGCUGAGGAUGGGCCCGCGGCCUAUCAGCUUGUUGGUGGGGUGAGGCCUACCAAGGCGACGACGGGUAGCCGGCCUGAGAGGGCGACCGGCCACACUGGGACUGAGACACGGCCCAGACUCCUACGGGAGGCAGCAGUGGGGAAUCUUGCGCAAUGGGCGAAAGCCUGACGCAGCGACGCCGCGUGAGGGAUGACGGCCUCGGUUGUAACGUAC